UGGUGAGAUCAAUUGCCAAGAGUAGGAACUUUAGUUGUGAUAAGUGUGAAGGUGUUAGGAGAGGGUUUAAUCUGGCUAGUGUAGCAGGUGAAAUGGGAGGGAACACUGUGAGGGAGGUCUACCUAACAAGGAGAAAAUUGAGAGAAAUUCAGCCAGAAUGUAGCCCUACUUUCUUCUAAAUGGAAAUACUCAUCACUGUGAGAAUAGAGACAAACAGAAUGCGAGAAAGAAAAAUACAGUAACAGUAUUUAUCUAUUUAAGCAUUUUGCAUAUAUUAACUCAUAAAACGCUAUUAGAUAAAACACUAUUAGAUAAUACAGUAUUAUUCCUAUUUUACAGAAAGAAGCUCAAAGUUGUUAAAGCAAAAGAGAGGGACCUUACUAUUUUGCCCUUGUCUGCUUCCCCAGAAUUCUUUUGCCACUUACUACUUUGAACUUUCUGCAUGAACACCAUCAAAUGGUUUUCAGUUUCAUGCCAUGAUGAGCUAUCUCUUGCCUCUGUACCUUUGGUCAUGCCAAGAUUCUCAGUCCAUGACCCCUUUUCUUGACUCCCAUCCAUUCUUUAACCCUCAGAUUCUGUUACUUUCUCACAAUUUGUGGACAUUUCUCUCACGGUGUUAAAAUAUUCUGUUUCCUUACCUUCACCUGGACUGGACUGUGGGCAGGACAUAGAUUUCGUGUCUGUGGCAUAGGGCCUGGCCAAUACUAUAUAUAUUUUUCAACUCAACCACAAAUGAGUAAAUAUCUGCGAUAACUAGGUGAACAGAAAAUUCUCAGGGAUGAGGUUUAAAAUAGGGAAAGAGGAAAGAAGUAAAAACUCGUGGCAAAAUAGAACUUGCAUACUCUUUGCUUUCAAUUUAGGCUAGGGGUCAGACCAGAACUAUAGCUGCUGGCCUAUACCGCAGCCACAGCAAUGCGGGAUCUGAACUGCGCCUGCAACCUACACCACAGCUUUCAGCAACGCCGGAUCCCCAGUCCUCUGAGAGAGGCCAGGGAUUGAACCCGCAUCUUUAUGGAUACCAGUCAGAUUCAUUUCCGCUGCACCACAGUGGGAACUCCAAGGAAAAAAACAGCAUUUAAUAUGAGUUUGUAUACUACAGUCUAAGGAGAUUUUGUAUGAGUUCUGAGCGAUAUAGGUACUCAUAGGAAUGUAUCUCUAAUUUUUCCCCAUCUUAGUUAAUGGUGUUAACUUUUAAUGAUAACCUCUGCCCUUGGGUCUGCAGAAAUUCAAAACGGUUUGGGUAUUUUGAUGUGCAGGGAAAAAAAAUGGACACUUCCAAAAAAAUUUUUUUGACCACACCCAUGGCAUGUGGAAGUUCCUGGGUCGGGGAUUAAACCUGAGCCACAACAGUGACCAGAGGUGAUGCAUGGACAACACCGGAUCCUUAACGUGCUGUGCCAGAAGAGCACGCCUGUACACAUUAAAAAAAACCCAAAUCCUUAAGCUUUCUCUGCUUAUCUUUAGCACUUAUCUGUGGCUUUUGCAAUGCUAGCAUUACCAUAGUGAUAAAUAGGGGGUGAUGCUAUCCAUAAAGUUUCCUGCAUAGUUCAAUAAAAAUACCAGUAAUGACUAUUUUUUAUUGGUUAUGCCUGGCACCAUGCUAAGCAUUUCACAUACAUUAUUCCAAUUAAUUACAGUACCUCUAUGUUACAAAUCAGAAAUGUGAGGCCCAAGGCCACCCACUGACAGAGCCAGGAUUCUGACACCAGUAACUAUGCUCACCACACUACACAUUUGCUCUAAUUUAUUAAUUCCUUUAGGUCUUUCUCUUUCAAGUGGCUUUAGUCAAUACAGCCACUUGGGUUCUGCGCAUAUGCUGGAAAUAGCAUGGUCUGUUAAUUCUAACCCUCCACUGACUGUAUCAGGCAGUUCCUAGUUUUAAGCUCAGGCUCAAAGUGUAGACUCUUUUAUGAGAUUUCUGGCAGAAGCAGGUGAAAGGAAGAAUUCAAAACCAUUUCCUUUGUUGGGAGAGACACAUCAAGUAGUUGGGAGGGAGUGGGGCUGUUCCAUUCAGCCCUCAGUCUAGUCUCUUGGAGAGCAGCACUGAAGUCUCUCCCAUAAUUGCCUGCCUGGAAGGUGGAAAAUGGGAUAAGUGAUGUCACCGCAAAUGCAGACAUGCUGAACCCAAUAUUGCACAUCAGUGAAAUGGCUCAGGGAUUAGCUAGGCAUCCUCAACCCAUUUUCACAUUUAGUUUUCCUUCAAAGGAGAACUAUAUAAAAUAUACAACAAUAACCCAUGGCUUAUUUUAAAGUGCUUUCUUCUGACAGUCCUUAGUAGCACAUGAUUAGAGUUAAAAACCGAGAAACUAAUCCUUCUUCAGCUGCUGACCUACAGUGUGAAAUGCAGUCAGGUAACCUACUCCAGGGCUGACCAAGGCACAGGUAUUUAUUAAGUAUCUAUUAACAGUCCAGCAUGAAUUUUUAUGCUUUGGGUAUCAAAAGAAUAUUGAAAGCUAGGUUUCAGCUUACCCUGAGCACCACACAAGUCAAAAUAAUGAAUUUCAGUGGUUAAAUGACUGGUAUAAACUACGGCAGUUGGGAUGACAAAUAAAUGAAUGACAGCUGGACUGGUCAAGCAUAGUGAGCAAUUGCUCUGACUGCCCACAAUCUACUUGUUUUUCCUCUAAUAACAUAAUACAUAUUUUGCUCUGAGAAGUCAUGCAUCCCCACUCUAAGUCCGCUUAGUUUGGGUGAUGACUAAGACAGGAAUGGGAGCAUGACUGACUAUAGCCAGUGAGAUUUUAAAAAUAUUCCUGUAUUGCCUAUGGCUGAAAGGAGACUUACACAUGGACUUUUCAGUUAGCUGAAACAAGAAAUUUCUUUUUUCUUAAGCCAGUUUGCUUUGGCUUGUUUGCUACUUGCAACCAAAAUAUUGCUAACGGGUUUUCUGCUUCUAGAUAGGGUAGACUUCUGCUUCUCAGAAGGAUACAGUAGAAGCUGACAGGGUAAUGUUCCCACUGCAACAACUUGAAACCAACAGAUAAAUUGCAAACUUCAUAUUUCUGAAUGCAUGGGGGAAAUGUAGAAGUAACAGAGAUGAGAUAAACCCUAAAUCUUGAGAGGUGAGAAGCUGACUACUCUAGUCAUUUUUCAACCUGAGUCAUCUGCCAAUUUUGAGCAUGACCUGAGGAGCAGGCUCGCUGAUGAAGCAGAACUCUGCUGGGAGUAAGAGUGACCACCUGAGCUUUUAGCAGUUACAGGGGGCUGAUAUGGCAGUUUGGAAGCUUGAAGAGACUCAAAUACUUAUUGUUUCCAGAUAGGUUCUAGAGCUGCAGGGGAACUAAGCUAAAAGCUUCUAAAAUGCAGAGUAAAUUAUCUAGAGUUUCUUGGUGCUUAGGAACUAAGAUCUGCCAGUGAGAGAGCUUGCAUCAAGAAAAUUUACUUAGGGUCUAGAGAUUGACUGAAACUUACAGAGAGCAGAGAUGGAAACCAGUACUGUUCUGGGGCUCAGGAAAUAUUUCUGACAGGGAUAUACAUGUCCCUGACAGAAUAUAUAAAUAUAUAUAUUUGUCUCUUUUUUUAGGGCUGCACCCAUGGUAUAUGGAGGUUCCCAGGCUAGCCACAACCACAGCAACACAGCUAUACCACAGCUUACAGCAACACCGGAUCCUUAACCCACUGAACGGGGCCAAGGAUAGAACCUGUGCCCUCAUGGAUGCUAGUCAGAUUCAUUUCUGCUGAGCCAUGAUGGGAAUUCCUGUCAGGGUUAUAUUAAAAAAUCUAGGAGAUUUAGGCUCUUGCACCAGUGAAAAUCAGGAAUGGACUUAAUAUUAUAAAUAUUGCAAUCUAGUUUUGUUCCUAAUGAAUUUCUAAAUGGGUUAAGAUGAUUGUAUUUUGCUAUAUUUGCAUAAUUAUGAAGAAAACACUAUGGUGAAAGAUAAAAUAAUCUGGACCCUCUUUUUUUUUUAAAUUGAAGUAUAGUUGAUUCACAAUAUUGUGUUAGUUUCAGGUUAUAGCAAGGUGAUUCAGUUAUAUAUUUCUUUAGAUUAUUUUCCAUUAUAGGUUAUUAUAAGAUAUUGAAUAUAGUUCCCUGUGUUAUACAGUAAACUCUUGUUGCUUAUCUAUUUUAUGUACAGCAGUUUUUAUCUUUCAGUCCCUUAAUCCAAUUUAUCCCCCCCAUUUCCCUUAGGUAACCAUAAGUUUGUUUUCUAUACUUGUAAAACUGUUCUUUAUUUUGUAUAUAGACUCAUUUGUAUUAUAUUCAGAUUCUAAAAAUAAGUGAUAUCGUAUAAUAUUUGUUUUUCUCUGAUUUUCUUCACUUAUAAUAAUCUCUGGGUCUAUUUAUGUUGCUGCAAAUGGCAAUGUUUCAUUUUUUAUUGGUUAGUAAUAUUCCAUUGUAUAUAUGUAUGUAAAUAUACAUACAUGCAUACACAUACACAAGAUUGCUUUGGCAAUUCUGGGUCUUUGUGGUUCCAUAUAAAUUUUAGUAUUAUUUAUUCUAGUUCUGUGGAAAUACAUUAUGCGUUUUUUUGAUAGGGAUCACAUUAAAUGUGUGGUUGCUCUGGAGGUAGUAUGACCAUUUUAAGAAUAAUUCUUCCGGAGAUCCCGUCGUGGCGCAGUGGUUAACGAAUCCGAACCAUGAGGUUGUGGGUUCGGUCUCUGGCCUUGCUCAGUGGGUUAAUGAUCCUGCGUUGCCGUGAACUGUGGUGUAGCUUGUAGACGCGGCUCGGAUCCCGCGUUGCUGUGGCCCUGGUGUAGGCCCGUGGCUACAGCUCCAAUUCGACCCCUAGCCUGAGAACCUCCAUAUGCCGCGGGAGCGGCCCAAGAAAUAGCAAAAAGACAAAAAAAAAAAAAAAA
This 4797-nucleotide long non-coding RNA is filed under the name Sus scrofa (pig). RNAcentral describes it as "lncRNA (ENSSSCG00060058260.1)". Lineage: Eukaryota; Metazoa; Chordata; Mammalia; Artiodactyla; Suidae. The record is from RNAcentral.